RNAcentral lists this ribosomal RNA (501 nucleotides) under uncultured bacterium. RNAcentral describes it as "bacterial SSU rRNA". It matches the Rfam family "Bacterial small subunit ribosomal RNA", at positions 9 to 518 of the family's 1533-position model. The record is from RNAcentral.
AGAGUUGAUCCUGGCUAGGACGAACGCUGGCGGCGUGCCUAACACAUGCAAGUCGAGCGGAGAAUGCGGAUAUGUUACAUGGAAGCAUUCUUAGCGGCGGACGGGUGAGUAACACGUGGGUAACCUGCCUCAAAGAGGGGGAUAGCCUUCCGAAAGGAAGAUUAAUACCGCAUAAGCCUGCAGUACCGCAUGGUACAGCAGGAAAAGGAGCAAUCCGCUUUGAGAUGGACCCGCGGCGCAUUAGCUAGUUGGUGAGGUAACGGCUCACCAAGGCGACGAUGCGUAGCCGACCUGAGAGGGUGAUCGGCCACAUUGGAACUGAGACACGGUCCAGACUCCUACGGGAGGCAGCAGUGGGGAAUAUUGCACAAUGGGCGAAAGCCUGAUGCCAGCAACGCCGCGUGAAUGAUGAAGGCCUUCGGGUCGUAAAGUUCUUUGAUCAGGGAUGAUAAUGACAGUACCUGAAAAACAAGCCACGGCUAACUACGUGCCAGCCGCUGC